GUUCAGAAGCUCUAUAUUAAAGACUGGGACGUGCGCCGGAGUUAACGCCAGAACAGGCGUCUUGUUCAUUUACAUCCGGCUUCACUUUCGAUUCCCUCGGGUUAUACAACUGCUUUACGUUCAGUUAAGAAAACCGUCACAUAAAUACUUCACAUUGGCUGUUUAAUAACAUGCUAUGUUUACUGACUGAUAUUACUGUUCACAUUCUGAUUUCUGACAUUCACACAAGACAUUCGCGCUGAAUGUCGUUGUAAUCUACACAAAGAGACGUGUGUUGUUGUUGCUAUAUCAUCUGAAUAUUAGUCUAAAAUCUUCAAUUUUCACCAUGGAAAGUUUCAAGGUAAGGAUGUUAUAGUUCCAUGGUAUGGGAGUUGGGGGUUAUCUUCAUUCUUCGCUGGUGAGUAAUUCAAAAAGGAUGAUGACACAGUCAUCACUAUUGUCACCUAAACACAGACAGUGAUACGUCGUUUGUAUGUUUCAGAAUAUGUAUGAUCUGAUGAGAAGUGAGGGGUCCGUAUGGAAUUAAGCCAUAUGCCUGCUCGUAGACUGAAUUUUAAUUUGCCGGAAGUUUGGUAAGGUAAUAUUAAGUAAGGGAUCCGUAUGGAAUUAAGCCAAUAUGCCAACUGAAUUUUAAUUUGCCGGAAGUUUGGUAAGGUAAAAUUAAGUCUGCGGGGUUUACCACAUAUGUGAAUAUUGUGAAUAUCAUCAAUUGGAUUUAAACCAAUCAUAUCUGAAUGUUUAACGUCACAGGCUAUGUCAAGUAGAGAGGAACCAAUGGCAAUAGCAUGCAGACGAGCGGGUCUAAGACAGACAAGACUUGGAAAUUUUGUGAAACAACUCUCAUCGGUGCAUGUCACGCAUACUGAGCAUAGCCUUCAUAGGCAUACAGCGUAGAGAGAAAAUCACCCAUAAAAAGCAACGUUCCAAGCCAUGGUUGUCUUUGAGAUAAUAAUUAAAAUAAGAUCCACGUGGAUUCACGUAAUUGUUAUUGUGGAGAGAAACGAUUCAUCAUCGCAGCUGCAAGAAUGUAUCACAGAAACAUUAGAUUGACACUCUGACAGAGCCGGUAGUAUUGAAGAUAAC
Long non-coding RNA from Dendronephthya gigantea, 1083 nucleotides. RefSeq lists it as uncharacterized. Lineage: Eukaryota; Metazoa; Cnidaria; Anthozoa; Malacalcyonacea; Nephtheidae. The transcript is spliced from 3 exons. The record is from RefSeq and is a predicted model, not a curated record.